Molecule: non-coding RNA, 230 nt
Filed under: Bacillota bacterium
Lineage: Bacteria; Bacillati; Bacillota
Description: Firmicutes bacterium T-box sequence
Rfam family: T-box leader
About the family: Uncharged tRNA acts as the effector for transcription antitermination of genes in the T-box leader family. T-boxes are found upstream of many aminoacyl-tRNA synthetase genes and some amino acid biosynthetic genes usually in Gram-positive bacteria.
Source: RNAcentral
UGAUACGCAUUGAAGGGAUGAAGUACCCGGCCCCCCGUCUUCAGAGAGCUUCCGGUUGGUGCAAGGAAGCAGGCGGCCCCGGUGAAAUACCUCCCGGAGCGGCCUGCCUGAAGAUGCAGUAGGGCAGGACGGGUCGGCCCGUUACAGCCCAGGCAUUGCCAGAUGCCGUAAGGGUCUCGCCGCGAGGUGUGACCGAAUCAGAGGUGGUACCGCGUGUUGACGCCCUCUGU